This 602-nucleotide ribosomal RNA is filed under the name Veillonella parvula. Its description in RNAcentral is "bacterial SSU rRNA". It matches the Rfam family "Bacterial small subunit ribosomal RNA", at positions 364 to 957 of the family's 1533-position model. Lineage: Bacteria; Bacillati; Bacillota; Negativicutes; Veillonellales; Veillonellaceae. The record is from RNAcentral.
UUCCGCAAUGGACGAAAGUCUGACGGAGCAACGCCGCGUGAGUGAUGACGGCCUUCGGGUUGUAAAGCUCUGUUAAUCGGGACGAAAGGCCUUCUUGCGAACAGUUAGAAGGAUUGACGGUACCGGAAUAGAAAGCCACGGCUAACUACGUGCCAGCAGCCGCGGUAAUACGUAGGUUGGCAAGCGUUGUCCGGAAUUAUUGGGCGUAAAGCGCGCGCAGGCGGAUCAGUCAGUCUGUCUUAAAAGUUCGGGGCUUAACCCCGUGAUGGGAUGGAAACUGCUGAUCUAGAGUAUCGGAGAGGAAAGUGGAAUUCCUAGUGUAGCGGUGAAAUGCGUAGAUAUUAGGAAGAACACCAGUGGCGAAGGCGACUUUCUGGACGAAAACUGACGCUGAGGCGCGAAAGCCAGGGGAGCGAACGGGAUUAGAUACCCCGGUAGUCCUGGCCGUAAACGAUGGGUACUAGGUGUAGGAGGUAUCGACCCCUUCUGUGCCGGAGUUAACGCCAUAAGUACCCGCCUGGGGAGUACGACCGCAAGGCUGAAACUCAAAGGAAUUGACGGGGGCCCGCACAAGCGGUGGAGUAUGUGGUUUAAUUCGACGC